Molecule: long non-coding RNA, 12345 nt
Filed under: Gallus gallus (chicken)
Lineage: Eukaryota; Metazoa; Chordata; Aves; Galliformes; Phasianidae
Description: lncRNA (ENSGALG00010023645.1)
Source: RNAcentral
GACCGGCCGUGCACCCACUGCUGCUGCGGUGCCCAGCCCAGGGUAACCCAGGGGAGCGCAGCAUGGGCUGUGGGAUGACGCACCUCUCCUGCGAUACACGCAGGCGACCGUAUGGGCAGCGCUGAUUCCCUACUGCCUUCUGACACCAGCGCUCUCCUUCCUUUUAGCUACCCGUAGCAUCGUGUCAAGGCCAGGGGGCAGCUGGUGCUGCCCAGACACGAGGCCCUUCUGAGCUCUCACCUGACGCCCAUACGUCCGACAUCCCUCUGCUCCCUCCUUGCCGCAGCCCGCGGGCCUAUCUCACACGGAGCAGUCCAGCUGGUGCUGCCCCAAACCGAAGGAGAUGGCGUCUUCUCCUAGCUUGCUUACACGGAGCCACAGGAGCAGUGCCACGGAACACAACCACAUUACAUCGGGGGAGGCAACCUAAUGGCCAAGUGGGGCUUCAGUCAGGGUGUACACAUUUCACCACGUGCAGACAAACUUGUGUAGUGUAUUAAAGUCUAUGGCCAUUUUAAUCUCUUAUGGGGGGGGGGGGAAGCAAGGUUCAUGUGAAUUCUUUAAUUAGACAUGAAAUUGCCAUGCAAAGACACUAAGGAAGUAUGUGGUUAUGCAACUGGAGCCCUAGAGGAAAAAGUAAACAAUUUUACUGAGAAAAACAGAUUGAAAACAAUGAUGACAUUAAGAGGGAAAUGGCUGGAGGUUUGGGCUCUCUGUUUUUUUCCCCUUCCCUUUUGAAGCCUAAGAACAUCUGCAGGUCAUCUUCAACUUGGUCCCUCUUUGGUGUUGCUCAGUAUAUACUGCUUCAGUACCGUGGUCAUUCUUGACUGGAACUUGGUACACAGCUCUGUACAGGAGCUCCAGCAUUAGGAGCCGUAGCAUCAGCACUUUUCUCGGUCACUAAGGGAAUGCAUCUCAUCUGAGCCAAGCCCUUUUUUAUGCCAAAAUUUUGCAAGUUAUUUAACAUGCCUAGAAGCCCCAAACCCACCAUGGUGUGCUGCUGAAAGGCAGCUGGCAUAACCAAGCGCCUGGCCUUGCACAUACCAUGGCUCUGGGACCACCACCGGGCAGCUUGGUUCCCAGGGCUGCGCUUGGCGUGGGGUGUCCUUUGUGUAGCACCAGGCUCUGGCUUACAGCAUCGUGCCCAGCCCUCCCUGGCAUACCCUGCUAGGUUAAGCAAGGCGACUUGGCUAGUUUGGCAAAGGGAAUAAAGCCCUUAAAAAUGUGAUGUGGUGAGAUAGCAUUAAAAUCCAGGAUGUGUGCCUUCAAGAGUCAAGGACAUAGCUUAAAACAAAACAAAACAAAAUUAAAAAAAAAAAAAAGCGAGAAGAAUAGGAAGAGAAGGCACACCAUGUGAUUGUAAGUUACUGAGAAGGAACUUCACAUGUGAGCUGAGGAAAUGCAGCAUUGUAAACGUGCUAUUUAUAUAGUGCUGAAAGUGUACUUUUACAGGGACAUAAACACUCUUCACUCCAGUGCAUAUAAUCUGCCCUUCUGAAGCAGAUCAAGACAGUGCCCUGUUAGAGCCGAUUCAAUCUAAGGUCAAAAACCAAAUAAAUCUCAACUUUGAGAAACUUCAAACCAAAAUUUGGUCUGGGCCGAAGUCAUUCGACUGGACCAAGCCUUUCCCAUAACAAAAAUGAUCCUCCGAAUACUGAAGCCUGAACUGAAUUUUAAUUGCAAAAGAUCAUGAGAUUUAAAGAACAACAAAUGCAGCCAUUUGUAGAGCAUGCAUGCUGAGGUCCAAGAUCUACUUCUGUUUCUCCCCUUGUCUUCAGCUCUUACAUGACCCAAUCAUGAAGAAAAGAUGUCAAAUGCCACCAGCACCAGCUGGAGAGCAUCUUGGUUGAACCCUGGUCUGAGUUUAUGUGAGAGGUAGCCCCAAGCCAGCCCACCAGCAUGGAAAUAGACCAGCAAGUAAAAUGUUACUGUGAGGAGAGCGAGGACUGCUUCAAAUCAGACAGAGCUUGCCAGAACAUAAUGGUGGCUUGUAACACAGCUAAUCAUGCCGAAUAAAACAGAGCCUUAAAUACAUUCAGGACUAGAUUCUCAAUGGACCCUUCCAUUUAGCAUGUGGCAUCAAUUUUUUUUUUCCCUAACCAACUGUAUUUGGUACCACAAGGGAUGGUUAAUACAAUUUCAAAAAAAAAAAAAAAUUCAAAAAAUAUGAAUAAAUAACCAUAAGUUGUUUACACAAAUAAACAUUCCAGGACGUGGGAUUUUAUUCAGUAAUUGCCAUAUUGGUCAUAAAACAUGCCUGAAAACCCAAAGUACUACUUUAUUGCAUUUAGCAGCAACAAUUAGCCUCUCAAUUUUUCACUGUUUUAACAGACAUGAUGGCUUUCUACUGUGAGAAUAGGCUAAAAAAAUAAGCAACGAACAAACACAACCAAAAAGCAGGCUCUUCUGUACAACCAUACGCUCCAUAGGCUUACACGCAAAAAGCCUGAGCUGUGUUUCAUGAGGCAAAAGAAACAAACGGGCGGCAGACCAUUUUCCUUCCUACAUGAGGCACUAUCUAGAGGAGAGGGAGCAGCGAGGAGUUUUGUUGCAAGGCUCUCUCAGAUGUACCACAGGCAAUUCCUUGCUGCUGAGGACCAGAAUAAGGGCAAAAGUGGAAACAAUAGGAAAAGGUACAGUCCUUAAUGCAUCACUUGCUCUAUUCCAUUGUCCACGAAACAACAGAAGUGAUGGUUGGACGUGAUGACCUUAGAAAUCUUCUCCAACUUUAAUGAUCCUAUGAAUUUUUACACUGAACCAUUUCUGUAAAACAGAGAGCAUAAGUUUUGCAAGAGGGGGGUGUUUGUGAGCUGGAACAUUUUUUCUUUGCAGAAGAUUAAUCAAGAUAAAUAAGUCAUUUGGAAACGCUUGUAGUAGAUAUUCAGGUAGACACCUGAAGCCACCACAAGGCACAAAGUCACAUCAAGAGGACUCACUUUAUGUAGACUCUUGCAGGUUCAAGACAAGAGAAGUACAGCUGUGACAGAAACUGGGGGAUUCCACUCAGGUGAACUGCAGAUGUGAGCAAAGAUACACAUAACUGAUGCAGCACAGUUACCUCGCAAUUUGGAUAAUUAACCCAUGGGUAAUCAAGUAUUGAUGGCAUUGCACUAACUGCAGAAACUAUGUCCUAGAAACAUUACUGGGAAUAUCCAUCCUGUGUUUUCACCUCCUAGAAGUCCGAUUUGGACAGCUGACUGACCUACUUCCAGCAUGUCACUGUUCCCAGCACACCAACCCCUAUCCCUAAACACAUGGUUGCUUCCAGCAAGGGAGAGAAAAGGAGGACUGGGCUACAGAUGUUCCUCGCGCAUACAAUCAACACGGCCCUCCCCCACCAAAGUUUAAUAAGGAUUGUUAGUACAUCAUUGUAGCUGGUAAUUGUGUAGGUACACAUGGUAAUUGCAUGUAUUUGCACUAAUUAUGUAAAUGCACAAUAAUUAAAGCUCCAGGGUUUUCAUGGUAAAUUUUUAAAACACUCAUGGAUUUGUCAUGGCAAAAGUGUCAGUCAUGUAACCUAGUGGGGAAGAAAAGGAGGAGGAGGCUCAGGAGUGCACACUUCUUAAAUAAAAACAGACAUUUUUGCAUGAGUAACUGGAGAGGGGAUACCAUUUUAUCAUCAAACAGAACUGUCAUGCCUGGGUACAACUUCUUUCAGACUCUCUUAUCAGUUAGAAUAAUAAUAAUUAAAAAUUAAAAAAAAAAAUAUUGGUUUUCAUGGUAGGUCAUUGCUAAUGCUCAAAUACUCCCUGCCUUCUAUCCUGGCUUUCCCCACCCACCCUGCACUGCAGGUCUCAGGGCUUCCCUCUGCUCUGUGCUGCAGGGAUGAGCAAGCCUCUGCUUGGCGGGCAUGGAGGGGCCUGGGCAGUUCAGUGCUCCUUAACAACUGCAGCCGCAGAAGGAAAGGGAGCUUUGCAAACACACAGCAUGCAUCUCACUGCGAGGCAUGCAGACAAGCAGCGUAGCUGGUGUUCAGCCUCAUUGGCCACCGUACAGCUCCCUGAGCAGCCCUACUGUGCCAUGCUGGGCUCACAGGUCCUGCUCAGUGGGCAGUAUGACAGAGAGCUGUGACAUGGAGCACCAACUAGAUGUUUCACACUAAAAGCUGGCUGCUCCAAAACACACUGUGUGAGGUUUUAAUCCCUUCAGCCACAUGCUCCUUUUAUGGGUGAUACCUGCACUCAUGACACUUGCAUCCACUGGGAAGGCACCAACCUGACUUGUGCUUAAGCAGAAAUAUUCUUCCCUGUGCCACCUCAUUGCAGGUGUUCUUGUUGGCCCACACAGCACCUCUGCAGGAUUGCUUACUCAUACACAGCUUCCUCAGGACCGUUGCAACCAAGAGCCAGUACAAGAGCUUUAAGCUACCGAGGCCAAAUACCUAAAGACAAGACACAAAGGGGAGCUUCCUUGGGAUUUACAACACAGCUUUAAGAGGAUUUGGGGGACACACAGCCACACAGUUAUUUAUGUAAACCUAAGUCUAUAUACGUGGAUCAAAAAACUCCACAUACAUGGCAACUACUUUCAUUAUGCCCCAGCACAUUCCAUAUCGUUCAGGUGUUGUUUUCUUUUAGUCAUUUCUUUGAAGACACUUUAAAAAAAAUCAAAGCUAAAUUAAAACAAAACAUAAAACUAUAUGAUAAAAACUGAACAAAUCUAGUGAUACAAAAGUUAUGUUAAAAGCAGAUUUUAAUUGCUGGCGUCCAAUUAAACAAGAGAAGCUACCUUGUAUAGUGACUAUUUUCUACUUCAUUUCUAAGAAUGGACAUAUUUUCAGGAUUUUUUUUUUAUUUCCUAUGGUGUUAAGAAUGUCUGUAUCCAUGCCUGAUAGAGAUUAAAGAAAGCAAAGCAUCAUCUUAAACUUUUGGAUUUGCGGAAACAUGUUUGUUAAUGCACUGAGAAUCUUGAAGGAGUACAGGAGGAUUUCACACAACUAACUGUACUCCUUCUGAUAAUAAAUAAAUAAACGUUGCUAAAACAGUGAUCUGUUGAAUUAAUUUCCUUUAGUUUUACAAUAAAUUCAUCUGUUCCUCAGGUAAUGGGUAGAGGGUGUCUAAAAUUCUUUAAAUACAGGGUUUGUGUUCAGGACUGGAAAGCAGCUGAGUUGGGUUAUCUGUCUGUAGGGAAUUGUCCAUCUGUCUGUAGGGAAUUUAUUUUGGCUUGUUUUUGUUGUACAGCAGCAUUGUGAGGCUAAGUUAGUGCUUUAAUUUUUGUUAAUGCAGGACCAAAGGUCUUUCAGAUGUUUAUGUCUAGUGGCAGCUCGUAUCAUAAAUACUUGCUUCCAGCAUCAUGACUACACAGACUGAGUAAGCCUUCAAUCCAGCAAGGUCCCUCAGACUUGGUGCUUCUUCACAUGCCACACAAAUAUGCUUACUCAGGCAGGAAAAAAAUGCCUAAUUUAUGAGAAGUGUUUUGGUUCAUCAGAUUUGCAAAAGCAGUUUGGUGGUACAGCUGACAUUCAGAUUCCUUCGCAAGAAGAGUUGGAAGGUUGUCCUUUCUGAAAGUCAUGUCCAUGGUGUCUCAAGUUGAUAGCAUGAGCAUGAAAACACCUGCAGUUAGCAGUGGGCCUAUUUCCUACUUCUGUGUGAUUCUUUUGGUCUGCAUGAACAAUAUGAAAAAAUAUUGUUAAAUAUAAGUUGAUCUAAAUAAAUACAAAUAUAUGCUUAUUGAUAUGUAUCACAAGAGGUGUUUGUGUAAUGAACUGAUUGGUCUGAGAUCCUAGCAUGAGCAAUUCUGACACAAAUGGCAACUUGGUGCUGACUGUUGGGACACACGAAGGUGUCCUUUGCUGAAUAUUUGCUACCAGAACAUCUAGGAAUGGAAGAUAUUCUUGGAAAUCUAGGCAAUGGGAUUUGCUCAAAAAUCCAUGGCAAAUACAUGACCAGAACCUGUACCUGAACCUGUUCCUGACUCGUGAGCUGAACUGGCAGGUGCCCUGUUCCAACAAGCCAGCCACAGUACAGGUGUAUUUUAAAUCACUGUGCUGAGUCAUUCUCAUUUAAAUGUAGGCUAAACCACCUGAGUGUACUGUCCUUGCUAACCUCCACAAACUCACUGUAAAGUUUUCCCUCUACAGAGCAGACAAAGCCCAUUGGCUUCAUCCCUCAUGUGAGCCACAGCCAGGCAGCUAUUGCCUAUUUGCUGCAUCAUGAUAUAUGAUUACAGACAGUUGUGAGUGUUUGUUUGCUUGCUAGGCUUGUUCCUUUAAAGAGGAAGAAUUAUCCUAUUAUCUCAAGCAGAAUCACACUUGUUCCACUCUAUCUUGCCUUCUAAACUUUAAAAGCUGAAAAGUCAUCUUUUAAGUGUCUUUUUUUAGCUGAAGGAUUUUCUUUUAUUUAAUUUCUAUACAUACGCAUUUUCCACUACACAUGCUGGAAUAGUAUCUGUUUGAUUUCCUGUUAUUGUACGUAAGUCUACAUUUUUUGUCAGUGCUUUGUUUUAAACAAAGCAGAGGAACAUAUAGCAAGUUUGUCCUGAAUUAAUGGCUUCCUGACAUUUGAUGAAAUUCUUUAUACCAACCCCACUUUUCCAUAUUCCCUUUCUGGAUUUCUUUUCGUUUGGCAGCUGGCAUGUAGCAGUUAGAUCCUAUCUGGUAGCUAGAGCAAAAAGAGUCCCAAAAUGUAGAAUUACUUUUAAGAGCUCUAAAUACUACCUAGACUUCAACUUUAAAAACCUGGAAGAAUCCCAAACCCAGGAGAAAGGAUGUAUGAUGUACAUUAUCGGGCUACUGUUACGGGGAAUAGUUUAAAUACUGAAUAAAACUCAAUGAAGACUUUCAGAAUUAUUUUUGUUCAGACUUUACAGUCUUGUGGGGAAUGCAGAGGUUAGCAAUGACACCUCAAACACUAUACUGUCUUGAUAGGACUUGAAGGUUAGAUCAGGGAAGUACUGGGUAACCUAUCAAAGUCCUGAAAUCAAAAGGCAUCUUUUCUAAAAUAAAUCUCGGUGGGGAGAAUGUACACAUUCUCAUGCUGCUGUUUGUUUUGUCAUAUUCACAGGUAAAAGAAAACUAUGGGCAAUGUCUGAUAAUGCGCCUGUCCUCUACUCAGACUUGCCCCCUUCAAUGACUAGAGUCACUUCUCAAUGACUGGAGGCUCUGCAGAGUGGGGAAGUGAAAACCAGAACCCGCCUCUCCGAAGAUAAAGUUGAAAAAAAGCAAAUGAGCAAAAACAAACAAACAAACAAAAAAUACUCCCUUAACCUGGUAUCAAACAUCCAUCCUAUCUUGUUUUGAAUUGAUCUGGAGAAAAUGGUAGUUGGCAAUGACUCUUAAAUGUAUGACCAAUCAUUUUGCUUUUUUAUAGGUACGUGAAAGACACAGCUUGCCAGAGUGGAAUUCAUGUACCUCCUGAAAUAUUUAAGACACCUGCAGUGAGAUUAUUUUUCCUCUUUUAAUUUGAAGAACCUGCAUUUCUCAGUUCUGAGGCAUUUCUCUGGCGGUAAUGUGUGCCAAAUAACUGGCAGUCUGGCACAACAGCACUUAUAUUCCAAGUAUUAUAAAAGAUAGAUAACAAGAAACCUGUUGCUUUUCUUUUCAGGGGAACUGAACCAUGAAUCUUAUAUGGCAUCAGUAGGUACAGAUAUAAACCCCUCUCCACUGUUUUUCUCUGCUUCUGUGACAUAAAAUUAAGGCCCAAAUUCUACAAAAUAUUUAACAGGAAAAAUCUCACAGCCCAAAAGCUCUCCUGAGGCAGUAUUUGCAUACAAUUUGUUGCAAGAUUAGGAUCAGAGGUUUUUUUCUCCCUAUUUUUCUACCUCAUUGGGUGUUAUUCUGGCAUUGCUAUGUUUUUCCAUUUACAUUGUUUUGACUAGAGUCAAAAUUGUUGUUACAUUUUAAGUCAGUGUCUGCUCUACUAAUUGAUGGGCUGCUAAAGAUCAGCCACGGAGAGUUAGAUUUCAGAGCAAGAAUCUGGCUCACAGAAGAAGUGAUUACAUGAGAUAUGUAAGGACCAAAGCCUGUAAGACCGAUUCAAACCCUAAAUGAUUUGACCAAGAGUACAAGGCUGUGAUACAUUCACAGUGAAAAUAUGGCACCUGGUCACAGUGUCUGGCUUCCACUUCUUCCAUCCAACUUUAGCUGUCCUCCUUUUGCAGAGGUCAAAGCAUUGUAUAAAUAUCAGUUAAGCAGAGUAAAAUCAGCUCCUUUAAAAUAUUUAGCUACCAUCUACCAGUGCUUUAUAAUAUGAAGAACAUACCUCUGCUCUCCUGGAACAUGGCAGGAAGCAGAAGUUUCUCUUUUGAAGGCAAUGAAGUUCCUCUGCAUCUGACUUCCAAGCAGUGUCUAACCUUGCUAUAUAUUUUAAUCUAACAGUAAGAUUUUUACUUCAGAACUUGUUUUCAUUCUGAAUCUGAGAGAGAAAGUGGGCACACUGUAGAUUUCUUGUAAAAAAUUUGUAUAACCAUGCUUAUCAAAUUUUAAACAGUAGCACCAGUAUUGCAAUACUUACUUUACCAUUAUAUUAAAAACAAAAGCAACUGAAAGGAAAGUCAGCACGAAAAGUUUUCCUCUUAUCAGAGUAAAUGAGAAUAUUGAUAUAAUGCAUUUCUGCUCUCUGCCUUUUAAAAUGGCAUUGAAAGCAACACAUUCUUACAAUAAAGUUUGCAUUUCACUCAAAGUGCAUUUUCCAACUGGAAAGUGUAAAGGCGAAUAUUUCAGGAUUGGUCCUACUUGAUGGUGCUUUGCAAAUACUCUCUAUUAACCUGAAUGACUGCGUAAGGUAGAGGAAAUCGGUAAACCUGGCCCUCUGAGAGCAGAGGAGCAAGUUGUUAAUGUUAAUGGGUAUCAAUUCACAUAUAUUUGCUUACAGAGAUCUGUGGCAGCUCUGAGUGUUUCACUGUGUCCAAUUUCUUCUUGCAUAAAUAAAGAAGAGCAUGAAUACUUGAAAAGAUGAAGGCUUCUCUGGAGCAGAAGAGCCAGAACUACUACAAGGAAAUUCUUGUGCUUCUUUAAUUACCCUCCUUUGCCCAUAGGUGGAAUUUCCACUCGGACAGCCCCAGCAAGCAGACUGCUAGCCUGGGAAGAGAUGUCUGUUUGUCUUUGUACAGCAAACACUGGCUGUGUUGUGCAGCUCAAGCUUCUGAUUCAAAUGAUUUCCUGAAUUCAUUCUGCUUCAUACCUCAGGGAAGGAAGAGGUGAUCCUCUUGAAAAUUCAUAUAAUUGCUUUUAUUUGAUUUUUAUUAAACCUCAUUCAAGAAUAAUGUGAUGGCUUUCUUUAUUACAUUGUUCAUCACUGCGGCAUUUUUUGAAUUUACUUUGCUAAAAGAAGCAGUUUACUAAGCCAAAGAUUGAAUUCAAGGAUUUUUGCAGAGAGAAAGCUGAGAGCUUUUUUCAAGUUCCUUUGAUUUCAAAGACUUUUGUAACAUUGAUACCCAUCUAAGAUUAUCUCUGCUUUUAUUCUCUAGUAGCUUGAACAUCUCUCCAGGCCUGAGCAGUCAGGCCAUUCUGCAGUGUGCCAUGUGUGUGUGCUGGGAUUCAGCAGGGCCAGCUGUGCCGCAGCUUCAACCCAGCUCGGCCUGAGUGCCAGGGAGCUGCCAGAGUGCCCAACCCACUCCCCUCCCCAUACCAGCCGUCCCACCACCUGCUUAGGCUGCCUCUUGCUGCCAUGCUGAUGGCAGUGGACAAAGGGAAAGGCUGCAGCUGUAGUGUGGAAAGCUACAGCAAGGAGUGGGUUCAUUGACCCCCCUCUAAAUUCUUUGUAGCUGCCACAGAGAUUGCUCCCAUUUUAAAAUUGGGAUGACUGAUGCAGAGAAGCAAAGUAAAUAAUCUGCACUUAGCAUGAAUAAAAGUAGCCGAGCAAUUAAAAUUCAGAACUGGCAACUUCAUGUCACUAGCAUCAAGCUAUACAGAUUUGGAAAAUUUGAUCUAUUUACCUCUUUGCCACUGGUGUGACAUCAUCUACUGUCCAUCAGUAACUCACACACAGAGCUACCUGAAGUGCAAUUUUAUGAGACUUUUUAAAGAGAAUUAUUUUUGGUCAUUUAAAGAUAGGUGUUUAGGAACAUGAGAAUGUUCAUAUAUUAUUAUAGCAAUUUUCCCCUCUUUUCCAUUUUAUCACAGGAAAUAACAUCUCAAAACACUAUGAGUACUUUGUAGAAGGUUCUUUUUUAUCUUAAAAAGUUUUUAACAAGAGUCCAGUCAUCUUAGUUAAUCCCUUUAAGCCAUGUCAAUAUUUAUUCUUAAGUAGAGUUUCAAAUAUUAGAGCAGCUGCACUCAGCUUAAUAGGGACAAUUCCCAUUGACUGGGAAUUAUGGCCAAGUACUGCAGGGGCUGACCUUGAGUCCUCAGGCCUACAGUUUAAAUGGCAAUAAGGGUGGCGGUGUGUCUGUUGGUUUAUGCCUCUGUCCGUAGGUAAGCACAAACCCCAGGGCUGCUUAAGGACCCUUAAUAAGCACUGCAGCUACUUCCCAGGGCUCUGGAAACCCUGUGUGAGGUGAGGCAUGUAUUUUUUAUGCUACUGGCAUCUAGACUUCUGUUUUCUAACAGUGACAGAAUAAUGGCAAUGGAUUUGGGAUAAAAGACAGGCAGAUGUACCACCAUUUCAUCAUAUAGUUACUCCUCAUCCCUCUUUCCUAAGGCAAGAAACAGGUUACUUCAUAUCACAUGGAGUACCUUGCCUUUGCCCCUCUCUCAGGGCAGGUGUGUUUGAGUCAGAGAACUUCGCUGUUCCAAGAGUCAGCUGGCAUUACGCUCUCUAAGACCCUCCAAAAGAGUGCUCUGCUCACAACCUCUAAAUUAAACUGAUCACCAGUUUUCUGGGCAGGAUUUUUUCUUCCAUUUAAAAGUUCUCUUUUUCUUUGCUUUAUUUCCGACAACACAAAACACAGUUGCUGUCUAUAGCCAUAGGGAAGUUUUAUUCAGUAAGUCCUCUGCUACCGUGGUGACACAGGAUUUUCAUGGUAGUACUGAUUCCUUUGUUGUCUUUCUGUGGUACUACAUUACAGCUAUGGCUUUUUUUUCUUUCCUUUUCCUUUUCCUUUUCCUUUUCCUUUUCCUUUUCCUUUUCCUUUUCCUUUUCCUUUUCCUUUUCCUUUUCCUUUUCCUUUUCCUUUUCCUUUUCCUUUUCCUUUUCCUUUUCCUUUUCCUUUUCCUUUUCCUUUUUUUCCAAGCAGAGGUUUUAUUUCUCCUGAGGAACAUUAAGAAGUAUUUCCCUCCCUGGGGAUGUGGAUUCUCCAUUCUGAAGAAGCCUGGGUCAUUGGAUGUCUCUUGCACAGAGAACACUUCGGAUGUCUCCGCCAGUGUUCCCAGAAAAGGGAGAUGUUUCCUGUCUGGUAGUACAGAGCAGCUGAUCAUUUCCAUGUUAUGCUGAACACAAAAACUGGACCCACUCUCAUAGUCCUCAGUGUGGGGCACCAUGUGAAUACAAAGAAGACAAUGACUGAAGGAGUUUUAAUCUUCCCUGGCCUCUCAGAUACCUUGGGGGACUCCUGGCCUUGGACCCCCUGCUCCCUGUCAUUUUUCUGACCACUUCUGGUGGGAUCCUGUGCUGUUUGCACUUAAAGUUACUGAAGUGAACCGAAAAUUGUAAGUCUCCAGCAAAGAUUAAAUGGCACAAAAAGGUGAGUAAAUAUAAACAGUGAAGUGAAAGAAGGUGGCUAGGCUUGAGAGCAGCAAGUACUAAAUGAUGUAUUUCAUAAGACCUUGAGCCUGCACUUUCCUAACAUGUUUUUAUAACAUGAUUCUAAAGGCUCCAUCUGCUUAACUUUUUCCUUCCAGAUUAAUGAUUGUUUUAGGACAACUCAGAUUUGGUUACUGUUAGCUCUAACAUUUUCAGAGAGGCUGACUUCCCCAUCAUGCAAUAAAUUGCUAGGAUAUAUGGUGCAUGCAGAGAACUUUCUGGUCCAAACUGGAACAAUCUCUCUGCAUAGACACAUUUACUUUUCAUUAAAAACAAAACAAAACAAAAACCUGUAGAUAAUUCCAUGCUUUUCACAGUAUUAACUUCACAGACAAAAACAAAAAAUCGAAGUGUUAACCCUGUCUCUUUUAUGUCUUCCAGUGUUCAAUUCCAUUCUGGUAAAGGUUUGCUACAAUUAAUCAUUUUUACAACUAUUUUAGGCUUAAAUCCCUUAAAAAACGUUCUGGAUCUGGAAUCUGACUAAAUCAGAAAUGAAAUAAAAUAUUUCCCAUUGCUUCCUGCUGAUGCUGAAGAUUUUGCAUAUUAGUCUAAUGUAACCUUGUAGUGUUGAGGUGUCCUCCAGGCUGGCUCUGGAGACCCCGCCGGCUGCUGCAGCUGCUGUGACUCCUGCUGCACUAAGAGCUUUUACAUCUGAGUGCUCUGCAGUAUAAAUGGGCAGCAACACUGCUUCUUUGCUUGGUCUCCCUGGAACAACUCUAAAAUAAAC